GUGCUCACUUCGGCAGCACAUAGACUAAACUUGGAGAAAGAUUAGCAUGGCCCCUGCGCAAGGAUG
This 66-nucleotide small nuclear RNA is filed under the name Echinops telfairi (small Madagascar hedgehog). Lineage: Eukaryota; Metazoa; Chordata; Mammalia; Afrosoricida; Tenrecidae. The record is from RNAcentral.